Molecule: ribosomal RNA, 461 nt
Filed under: Streptococcus cristatus
Lineage: Bacteria; Bacillati; Bacillota; Bacilli; Lactobacillales; Streptococcaceae
Description: bacterial SSU rRNA
Rfam family: Bacterial small subunit ribosomal RNA
Source: RNAcentral
GACGAACGCGGCGGCGUGCCUAAUACAUGCAAGUAGAACGCUGAAGGGAGAGCUUGCUCUUCUGGAUGAGUUGCGAACGGGUGAGUAACGCGUAGGUAACCUGCCUGGUAGCGGGGGAUAACUAUUGGAAACGAUAGCUAAUACCGCAUAACAUUGACUAUUGCAUGAUAGUCAAUUGAAAGGUGCAAAUGCACCACUACCAGAUGGACCUGCGUUGUAUUAGCUAGUUGGUGGGGUAACGGCUCACCAAGGCGACGAUACAUAGCCGACCUGAGAGGGUGAUCGGCCACACUGGGACUGAGACACGGCCCAGACUCCUACGGGAGGCAGCAGUAGGGAAUCUUCGGCAAUGGACGGAAGUCUGACCGAGCAACGCCGCGUGAGUGAAGAAGGUUUUCGGAUCGUAAAGCUCUGUUGUAAGAGAAGAACGAGUGUGAGAGUGGAAAGUUCACACUGUGACG